GAUGAACGCUGGCGGCGUGCCUAAUACAUGCAAGUCGAGCGAACAGAUGAGGAGCUUGCUCCUCUGACGUUAGCGGCGGACGGGUGAGUAACACGUGGAUAACCUACCUAUAAGACUGGGAUAGCUUCGGGAAACCGGAGCUAAUACCGGAUAAUAUAUUGAACCGCAUGGUUCAAUAGUGAAAGACGGUUUUGCUGUCACUUAUAGAUGGAUCCGCGCCGCAUUAGCUAGUUGGUAAGGUAACGGCUUACCAAGGCAACGAUGCGUAGCCGACCUGAGAGGGUGAUCGGCCACACUGGGACUGAGACACGGUCCAGACUCCUACGGGAGGCAGCAGUAGGGAAUCUUCCGCAAUGGGCGAAAGCCUGACGGAGCAACGCCGCGUGAGUGAUGAAGGUCUUCGGAUCGUAAAACUCUGUUAUUAGGGAAGAACAAAUGUGUAAGUAACUAUGCACGUCUUGACGGUACCUAAUCAGAAAGCCACGGCUAACUACGUG
Molecule: ribosomal RNA, 497 nt
Filed under: uncultured bacterium
Lineage: Bacteria
Description: partial 16S ribosomal RNA
Rfam family: Bacterial small subunit ribosomal RNA
Source: RNAcentral